This 524-nucleotide ribosomal RNA is filed under the name Enterobacteriaceae bacterium HGH0103. Its description in RNAcentral is "bacterial SSU rRNA". It matches the Rfam family "Bacterial small subunit ribosomal RNA", at positions 173 to 693 of the family's 1533-position model. The record is from RNAcentral. Lineage: Bacteria; Pseudomonadati; Pseudomonadota; Gammaproteobacteria; Enterobacterales; Enterobacteriaceae.
AACGUCGCAAGACCAAAGAGGGGGACCUUCGGGCCUCUUGCCAUCGGAUGUGCCCAGAUGGGAUUAGCUAGUAGGUGGGGUAACGGCUCACCUAGGCGACAAUCCCUAGCUGGUCUGAGAGGAUGACCAGCCACACUGGAACUGAGACACGGUCCAGACUCCUACGGGAGGCAGCAGUGGGGAAUAUUGCACAAUGGGCGCAAGCCUGAUGCAGCCAUGCCGCGUGUAUGAAGAAGGCCUUCGGGUUGUAAAGUACUUUCAGCGGGGAGGAAGGGAGUAAAGUUAAUACCUUUGCUCAUUGACGUUACCCGCAGAAGAAGCACCGGCUAGCUCCGUGCCAGCAGCCGCGGUAAUACGGAGGGUGCAAGCGUUAAUCGGAAUUACUGGGCGUAAAGCGCACGCAGGCGGUUUUGUUAAGUCAGAUGUGAAAUCCCCGGGCUCAACCUGGGAACUGCAUCUGAUACUGGCAAGCUUGAGUCUCGUAGAGGGGGGUAGAAUUCCUGGUGUAGCGGUGAAAUGCGUAG